Molecule: ribosomal RNA, 2810 nt
Filed under: Neisseria gonorrhoeae
Lineage: Bacteria; Pseudomonadati; Pseudomonadota; Betaproteobacteria; Neisseriales; Neisseriaceae
Description: bacterial LSU rRNA
Rfam family: Bacterial large subunit ribosomal RNA
Source: RNAcentral
AGUGCAUCAGGCGGAUGCCUUGGCGAUGAUAGGCGACGAAGGACGUGUAAGCCUGCGAAAAGCGCGGGGGAGCUGGCAAUAAAGCUAUGAUUCCGCGAUGUCCGAAUGGGGAAACCCACUGCAUUCUGUGCAGUAUCCUAAGUUGAAUACAUAGGCUUAGAGAAGCGAACCCGGAGAACUGAACCAUCUAAGUACCCGGAGGAAAAGAAAUCAACCGAGAUUCCGCAAGUAGUGGCGAGCGAACGCGGAGGAGCCUGUACGUAAUAACUGUCGAGAUAGAAGAACAAGCUGGGAAGCUUGACCAUAGCGGGUGACAGUCCCGUAUUCGAAAUCUCAACAGCGGUACUAAGCGUACGAAAAGUAGGGCGGGACACGUGAAAUCCUGUCUGAAUAUGGGGGGACCAUCCUCCAAGGCUAAAUACUCAUCAUCGACCGAUAGUGAACCAGUACCGUGAGGGAAAGGCGAAAAGAACCCCGGGAGGGGAGUGAAACAGAACCUGAAACCUGAUGCAUACAAACAGUGGGAGCGCCCUAGUGGUGUGACUGCGUACCUUUUGUAUAAUGGGUCAACGACUUACAUUCAGUAGCGAGCUUAACCGGAUAGGGGAGGCGUAGGGAAACCGAGUCUUAAUAGGGCGAUGAGUUGCUGGGUGUAGACCCGAAACCGAGUGAUCUAUCCAUGGCCAGGUUGAAGGUGCCGUAACAGGUACUGGAGGACCGAACCCACGCAUGUUGCAAAAUGCGGGGAUGAGCUGUGGGUAGGGGUGAAAGGCUAAACAAACUCGGAGAUAGCUGGUUCUCCCCGAAAACUAUUUAGGUAGUGCCUCGAGCAAGACACUGAUGGGGGUAAAGCACUGUUAUGGCUAGGGGGUUAUUGCAACUUACCAACCCAUGGCAAACUCAGAAUACCAUCAAGUGGUUCCUCGGGAGACAGACAGCGGGUGCUAACGUCCGUUGUCAAGAGGGAAACAACCCAGACCGCCGGCUAAGGUCCCAAAUGAUAGAUUAAGUGGUAAACGAAGUGGGAAGGCACAGACAGCCAGGAUGUUGGCUUAGAAGCAGCCAUCAUUUAAAGAAAGCGUAAUAGCUCACUGGUCGAGUCGUCCUGCGCGGAAGAUGUAACGGGGCUCAAAUCUAUAACCGAAGCUGCGGAUGCCGGUUUACCGGCAUGGUAGGGGAGCGUUCUGUAGGCUGAUGAAGGUGCAUUGUAAAGUGUGCUGGAGGUAUCAGAAGUGCGAAUGUUGACAUGAGUAGCGAUAAAGCGGGUGAAAAGCCCGCUCGCCGAAAGCCCAAGGUUUCCUACGCAACGUUCAUCGGCGUAGGGUGAGUCGGCCCCUAAGGCGAGGCAGAAAUGCGUAGUCGAUGGGAAACAGGUUAAUAUUCCUGUACUUGAUUCAAAUGCGAUGUGGGGACGGAGAAGGUUAGGUUGGCAAGCUGUUGGAAUAGCUUGUUUAAGCCGGUAGGUGGAAGACUUAGGCAAAUCCGGGUUUUCUUAACACCGAGAAGUGAUGACGAGUGUCUACGGACACGAAGCAACCGAUACCACGCUUCCAGGAAAAGCCACUAAGCUUCAGUUUGAAUCGAACCGUACCGCAAACCGACACAGGUGGGCAGGAUGAGAAUUCUAAGGCGCUUGAGAGAACUCGGGAGAAGGAACUCGGCAAAUUGAUACCGUAACUUCGGGAGAAGGUAUGCCCUCUAAGGUUAAGGACUUGCUCCGUAAGCCCCGGAGGGUCGCAGAGAAUAGGUGGCUGCGACUGUUUAUUAAAAACACAGCACUCUGCCAACACGAAAGUGGACGUAUAGGGUGUGACGCCUGCCCGGUGCCGGAAGGUUAAUUGAAGAUGUGCAAGCAUCGGAUCGAAGCCCCGGUAAACGGCGGCCGUAACUAUAACGGUCCUAAGGUAGCGAAAUUCCUUGUCGGGUAAGUUCCGACCCGCACGAAUGGCGUAACGAUGGCCACACUGUCUCCUCCCGAGACUCAGCGAAGUUGAAGUGGUUGUGAAGAUGCAAUCUACCCGCUGCUAGACGGAAAGACCCCGUGAACCUUUACUGUAGCUUUGCAUUGGACUUUGAAGUCACUUGUGUAGGAUAGGUGGGAGGCUUGGAAGCAGAGACGCCAGUCUCUGUGGAGUCGUCCUUGAAAUACCACCCUGGUGUCUUUGAGGUUCUAACCCAGACCCGUCAUCCGGGUCGGGGACCGUGCAUGGUAGGCAGUUUGACUGGGGCGGUCUCCUCCCAAAGCGUAACGGAGGAGUUCGAAGGUUACCUAGGUCCGGUCGGAAAUCGGACUGAUAGUGCAAUGGCAAAAGGUAGCUUAACUGCGAGACCGACAAGUCGGGCAGGUGCGAAAGCAGGACAUAGUGAUCCGGUGGUUCUGUAUGGAAGGGCCAUCGCUCAACGGAUAAAAGGUACUCCGGGGAUAACAGGCUGAUUCCGCCCAAGAGUUCAUAUCGACGGCGGAGUUUGGCACCUCGAUGUCGGCUCAUCACAUCCUGGGGCUGUAGUCGGUCCCAAGGGUAUGGCUGUUCGCCAUUUAAAGUGGUACGUGAGCUGGGUUUAAAACGUCGUGAGACAGUUUGGUCUCUAUCUGCAGUGGGCGUUGGAAGUUUGACGGGGGCUGCUCCUAGUACGAGAGGACCGGAGUGGACGAACCUCUGGUGUACCGGUUGUAACGCCAGUUGCAUAGCCGGGUAGCUAAGUUCGGAAGAGAUAAGCGCUGAAAGCAUCUAAGCGCGAAACUCGCCUGAAGAUGAGACUUCCCUUGCGGUUUAACCGCACUAAAGGGUCGUUCGAGACCAGGACGUUGA